GUCAACAAUCCAUCCUUAAAUGGGAGGAGCUUGUAGGUAACUACAAGUCGGGUUGACCAAGGAACGUUACGGGGCCGUGGCAAUGCAAAGAAGUAACUACGUGAACGAUAGGCAAGACCAGACCCACUCCGGGAUGCUUCCUCAGUCUGGGGCUCUGGA
RNAcentral lists this small RNA (159 nucleotides) under Candidatus Methylacidiphilum fumarolicum. RNAcentral describes it as "Methylacidiphilum fumariolicum HEARO". It matches the Rfam family "HNH endonuclease-associated RNA and ORF (HEARO) RNA", at positions 1 to 132 of the family's 211-position model. Lineage: Bacteria; Pseudomonadati; Verrucomicrobiota; Methylacidiphilae; Methylacidiphilales; Methylacidiphilaceae. The record is from RNAcentral.